ACGUUCGUCAAUUCUGAGGAUGUUCUGUUGUCAAAUUUUAUGUACAAAGACUUCGGUACUUUACAACGUCUAUGCAGUAUUAUAAAUAGGGAGACGCAGGUCACGGCAGGGUAUUGACUGUUACACGCUAACAUCACCUCAGCACCAAAUGUGUACUACCUUGGUCCGGCGGUAUUUUCUGCAGGUCACGGCAGGGUAUUAUCUGCAGUACCAACGCACUUGUCGAUUUGUCAGCAGAAUGGAAAACGGUAUGUCCAGUGGUAUGAGUGAACCAAGUUGGUUGCAGAAAACC
This 292-nucleotide long non-coding RNA is filed under the name Triticum aestivum (bread wheat). RNAcentral's name for it is "long non-coding RNA (TAES_LNC020665)". The record is from RNAcentral. Lineage: Eukaryota; Viridiplantae; Streptophyta; Magnoliopsida; Poales; Poaceae.